This 863-nucleotide ribosomal RNA is filed under the name Microbacterium sp. Its description in RNAcentral is "bacterial SSU rRNA". It matches the Rfam family "Bacterial small subunit ribosomal RNA", at positions 89 to 961 of the family's 1533-position model. The record is from RNAcentral. Lineage: Bacteria; Bacillati; Actinomycetota; Actinomycetes; Micrococcales; Microbacteriaceae.
GGAUCAGUGGCGAACGGGUGAGUAACACGUGAGCAACCUGCCCCUGACUUUGGGAUAAGCGCUGGAAACGGCGUCUAAUACUGGAUACGAGUAGCGACCGCAUGGUCAGUUACUGGAAAGAAUUUCGGUUGGGGAUGGGCUCGCGGCCUAUCAGCUUGUUGGUGAGGUAAUGGCUCACCAAGGCGUCGACGGGUAGCCGGCCUGAGAGGGUGACCGGCCACACUGGGACUGAGACACGGCCCAGACUCCUACGGGAGGCAGCAGUGGGGAAUAUUGCACAAUGGGCGCAAGCCUGAUGCAGCAACGCCGCGUGAGGGAUGACGGCCUUCGGGUUGUAAACCUCUUUUAGCAGGGAAGAAGCGAAAGUGACGGUACCUGCAGAAAAAGCGCCGGCUAACUACGUGCCAGCAGCCGCGGUAAUACGUAGGGCGCAAGCGUUAUCCGGAAUUAUUGGGCGUAAAGAGCUCGUAGGCGGUUUGUCGCGUCUGCUGUGAAAUCCCGAGGCUCAACCUCGGGCCUGCAGUGGGUACGGGCAGACUAGAGUGCGGUAGGGGAGAUUGGAAUUCCUGGUGUAGCGGUGGAAUGCGCAGAUAUCAGGAGGAACACCGAUGGCGAAGGCAGAUCUCUGGGCCGUAACUGACGCUGAGGAGCGAAAGGGUGGGGAGCAAACAGGCUUAGAUACCCUGGUAGUCCACCCCGUAAACGUUGGGAACUAGUUGUGGGGUCCAUUCCACGGAUUCCGUGACGCAGCUAACGCAUUAAGUUCCCCGCCUGGGGAGUACGGCCGCAAGGCUAAAACUCAAAGGAAUUGACGGGGACCCGCACAAGCGGCGGGAGCAUGCGGAAUUAAUUUCGAUGCAACG